Long non-coding RNA from Mercenaria mercenaria, 201 nucleotides. RefSeq lists it as uncharacterized. The transcript is spliced from 2 exons. The record is from RefSeq and is a predicted model, not a curated record. Lineage: Eukaryota; Metazoa; Mollusca; Bivalvia; Venerida; Veneridae.
GUGACCCAGUUUCGAACUUGACCUAGAUAUCAUCAAGAUGAACAUUCUGACCAACUUUCAUAAAGAUCCCAUGAAAAAUGUGACCUCUAGAGUGGUCACAAGCAAAAGUUUACGGACGCACGCACGGACGGACGACGGACGACGGACACCGCGCGAUCACAAAAGCUCACCUUGUCACUUUGUGACAGGUGAGCUAAAAAG